GAUGAACGCUGGCGGCGUGCUUAACACAUGCAAGUCGAACGGAGAAAGGGUAGCUUGCUAUCUUUUCUUAGUGGCGGACGGGUGAGUAACGCGUGGGUAACCUGCCCUUUGCAGGGGGAUAACAGUGAGAAAUCACUGCUAAUACCGCAUACCAACUUCUUUCGCAUGAAGGAAGUUUGAAAGAUUUAUCGGCAAAGGAUGGACCCGCGUUGGAUUAGCUAGUUGGUGAGAUAACAGCCCACCAAGGCAACGAUCCAUAGCCGGCCUGAGAGGGUGAACGGCCACACUGGGACUGAGACACGGCCCAGACUCCUACGGGAGGCAGCAGUGGGGAAUAUUGCACAAUGGGCGAAAGCCUGAUGCAGCGACGCCGCGUGAAGGAUGAAGGUCUUCGGAUUGUAAACUUCUAUCAGCAGGGAAGAAAGGGCCUAUGGCCUAUGACGGUACCUGACUAAGAAGCCCCGGUAACUACGUGCCAGCAGCCGCGGUAAU
This 492-nucleotide ribosomal RNA is filed under the name uncultured bacterium. Its description in RNAcentral is "bacterial SSU rRNA". It matches the Rfam family "Bacterial small subunit ribosomal RNA", at positions 28 to 524 of the family's 1533-position model. The record is from RNAcentral.